UAGCAACUGUUCUUUAGACGACU
RNAcentral lists this small nuclear RNA (23 nucleotides) under Arabidopsis thaliana (thale cress). RNAcentral describes it as "snRNA_15785". The record is from RNAcentral. Lineage: Eukaryota; Viridiplantae; Streptophyta; Magnoliopsida; Brassicales; Brassicaceae.